CUUCGAGGUCAGACGCUAUGACACCUCCUCCAGGAAGCCCUUCCUGGUUUCCACUGCCUGCGGAGACCCCAGUCUUCGGAGAGUCCCAGAGCCUGCCUCUCAGAGCCUCUCGUCUGGCUUUCAGGGGUGCAAAGCCCCUCCUCCCAAAGGUGCCAUGUCCCCACAGGGCACUCCCGCCCAGUUCAGCCUCCGCCCUGGCCCCUGUGAGACUCCCCAGCACCAGCAGGAUAAAUCACCCUCUUCUCUGGGCUAGGCUGGGCCUUUGGGUUUGUUCUGUUGCCCCCUCGUUCCGCAUCUGCCUCCUGCGGGCUGGUCAUCACGCAGACGGGAUUGAAGAAGGCAUGUCCCCCCGGCCUCCCUCUCAGGGUGGAGCAGCCAUCAUUCCUGGUGCUCAGCUGCCCGGAAGUCUCCCUUUCAUCCUCAUGAUGGUUAAUUUCAUGUGUCCACUUGCCUGGGCUAAGGGAUGUCCAGACAGCUGGUCACACAUCACUUCUGGGUGUGUCUGUGUGGAAGGUUCCAGAAGAGAGGAGCACUGGAAUCGAUGGACUGAGUGAAGAAGUAGAUGG
RNAcentral lists this long non-coding RNA (566 nucleotides) under Sus scrofa (pig). RNAcentral's name for it is "lncRNA (ENSSSCG00015076984.1)". The record is from RNAcentral. Lineage: Eukaryota; Metazoa; Chordata; Mammalia; Artiodactyla; Suidae.